UACGAACGCCGGCGGCGCGCCUAACACAUGCAAGUCGAACGGCACCCACCUCCGGGUGGAAGCGAGUGGCGAACGGCUGAGUAACACGUGGAGAACCUGCCCCCUCCCCCGGGAUAGCCGCCCGAAAGGACGGGUAAUACCGGAUACCCCGGGGCGCCGCAUGGCGCCCCGGCUAAAGCCCCGACGGGAGGGGAUGGCUCCGCGGCCCAUCAGGUAGACGGCGGGGUGACGGCCCACCGUGCCGACAACGGGUAGCCGGGUUGAGAGACCGACCGGCCAGAUUGGGACUGAGACACGGCCCAG
This 303-nucleotide ribosomal RNA is filed under the name uncultured bacterium. RNAcentral describes it as "bacterial SSU rRNA". It matches the Rfam family "Bacterial small subunit ribosomal RNA", at positions 28 to 334 of the family's 1533-position model. The record is from RNAcentral.